GGACGAACGCUGGCGGCGUGCUUAACACAUGCAAGUCGAGCGGUAAGGCCCUUUCGGGGGUACACGAGCGGCGAACGGGUGAGUAACACGUGGGUGACCUGCCCUCAGCUCUGGGAUAAGCCUGGGAAACCGGGUCUAAUACUGGAUAUGACUCCAUGACGCAUGUUGUGGGGUGGAAAGCCUUGUGCGGCUGAGGAUGGGCCCGCGGCCUAUCAGCUUGUUGGUGGGGUGANGGCCUACCAAGGGCGACGGACGGGUAGCCGGCCUGAGAGGGCGACCGGCCACACUGGGACUGAGACACGGCCCAGACUCCGUACGGGAGGCAGC
This 327-nucleotide ribosomal RNA is filed under the name uncultured bacterium. RNAcentral's name for it is "bacterial SSU rRNA". It matches the Rfam family "Bacterial small subunit ribosomal RNA", at positions 27 to 352 of the family's 1533-position model. The record is from RNAcentral.